GUUACCUUCGGGUAAUGAGGAUGGCGGACGGGUGAGUAACGCGUAAGGAACUUGCCUCUUGGACUGGGACAACUGUUGGAAACGACAGCUAAUACCGGAUAUUAUGAGAUUCUCGCAUGAGAAACUUAUGAAAGCUAUAUGCGCCAAGAGAGAGCCUUGCGUUCCAUUAGCUAGUUGGUGGGGUAACGGCCCACCAAGGCGACGAUGGAUAGCCGGCCUGAGAGGGUGAACGGCCACAAGGGGACUGAGACACGGCCCUUACUCCUACGGGAGGCAGCAGUGGGGAAUAUUGGACAAUGGACCACAAGUCUGAUCCAGCAAUUCUGUGUGCACGAUGAAGGUCUUCGGAUUGUAAAGUGCUUUCAGUUGGGAAGAAGAAAGUGACGGUACCAACAGAAGAAGCGACGGCUAAAUACGUGCCAGCAGCCGCGGUAAUACGUAUGUCGCAAGCGUUAUCCGGAUUUAUUGGGCGUAAAGCGCGUCUAGGCGGAAAAAUAAGUCUGAUGUUAAAAUGCGGGGCUCAACUCCGUAUUGCGUUGGAAACUGUUUUUCUAGAGUACUGGAGAGGUGGGCGGAACUACAAGUGUAGAGGUGAAAUUCGUAGAUAUUUGUAGGAAUGCCGAUGGAGAAGUCAGCUCACUGGACAGAUACUGACGCUGAAGCGCGAAAGCGUGGGGAGCAAACAGGAUUAGAUACCCUGGUAGUCCACGCCGUAAACGAUGAUCACU
RNAcentral lists this ribosomal RNA (728 nucleotides) under uncultured bacterium. Its description in RNAcentral is "bacterial SSU rRNA". It matches the Rfam family "Bacterial small subunit ribosomal RNA", at positions 73 to 817 of the family's 1533-position model. The record is from RNAcentral.